This 253-nucleotide ribosomal RNA is filed under the name uncultured bacterium. RNAcentral describes it as "partial 16S ribosomal RNA". It matches the Rfam family "Bacterial small subunit ribosomal RNA", at positions 524 to 776 of the family's 1533-position model. The record is from RNAcentral.
UACGUAGGGAGCAAGCGUUGUCCGGAAUCAUUGGGCGUAAAGCGCGCGUAGGUGGCUUCGUAAGUCCGUUGUGAAAGUCAAAGGCUCAACCUUUGAAAGCCGAUGGAUACUGUGAAGCUAGAGUACGGAAGAGGCGAGUGGAAUUCCUGGUGUAGCGGUGGAAUGCGCAGAUAUCAGGAGGAACACCAAUAGCGAAGGCAGCUCGCUGGGACGUUACUGACGCUGAGGCGCGAAAGCGUGGGGAGCGAACAGG